GAUGAACGCUGGCGGCGUGCCUAAUACAUGCAAGUCGAGCGAACGGACGAGAAGCUUGCUUCUCUGAUGUUAGCGGCGGACGGGUGAGUAACACGUGGAUAACCUACCUAUAAGACUGGGAUAACUUCGGGAAACCGGAGCUAAUACCGGAUAAUAUUUUGAACCGCAUGGUUCAAAAGUGAAAGACGGUCUUGCUGUCACUUAUAGAUGGAUCCGCGCUGCAUUAGCUAGUUGGUAAGGUAACGGCUUACCAAGGCAACGAUGCAUAGCCGACCUGAGAGGGUGAUCGGCCACACUGGAACUGAGACCCGGUCCAGACUCCUACGGGAGGCAGCAGUAGGGAAUCUUCCGCAAUGGGCGAAAGCCUGACGGAGCAACGCCGCGUGAGUGAUGAAGGGCCUCGGAUCGUAAAACUCUGUUAUUAGGGAAGAACAUAUGUGUAAGUAACUGUGCACAUCUUGACGGUACCUAAUCAGAAAGCCACGGCUAACUACGUG
Molecule: ribosomal RNA, 497 nt
Filed under: uncultured bacterium
Lineage: Bacteria
Description: partial 16S ribosomal RNA
Rfam family: Bacterial small subunit ribosomal RNA
Source: RNAcentral